GGGCGGACGUAGCCAAGUGGAUUAAGGCAGUGGAUUGUGGAUCCUCUACGC
RNAcentral lists this transfer RNA (51 nucleotides) under Asterella echinella. Its description in RNAcentral is "partial tRNA-His". RNAcentral also lists the same sequence under 1 other name. Lineage: Eukaryota; Viridiplantae; Streptophyta; Marchantiopsida; Marchantiales; Aytoniaceae. The record is from RNAcentral.